RNAcentral lists this ribosomal RNA (252 nucleotides) under uncultured Bacteroidales bacterium. Its description in RNAcentral is "partial 16S ribosomal RNA". It matches the Rfam family "Bacterial small subunit ribosomal RNA", at positions 524 to 776 of the family's 1533-position model. Lineage: Bacteria; Pseudomonadati; Bacteroidota; Bacteroidia; Bacteroidales. The record is from RNAcentral.
UACGGAGGAUCCGAGCGUUAUCCGGAUUUAUUGGGUUUAAAGGGUGCGUAGGCGGUCCGUUAAGUCAGCGGUAAAAUUGCGGGGCUCAACCCCGUCGUGCCGUUGAAACUGACGCCCUUGAGUGAGUGAGAAGUAAGCGGAAUGCGUGGUGUAGCGGUGAAAUGCAUAGAUAUCACGCAGAACUCCGAUUGCGAAGGCAGCAUACCGGCGCUCAACUGACGCUCAUGCACGAAAGUGUGGGUAUCGAACAGG